This 636-nucleotide long non-coding RNA is filed under the name Lathyrus oleraceus (garden pea). RNAcentral describes it as "Pisum sativum (pea) long non-coding RNA (PSAT_LNC016628)". The record is from RNAcentral. Lineage: Eukaryota; Viridiplantae; Streptophyta; Magnoliopsida; Fabales; Fabaceae.
ACACUUGAUUUUUUGCACGUUGAAUGGAUUUCCAAUUUGAAGAAGGGGAAAGGAUUAACGGAAGAAUAUAAAAAUUAUUCAUUUGGUUUCUCUGCAAUUUCGACCCGGGAAAGAGAAAUGGAAUGAGAGGAAAUGUACAUAUUCUAUCCUUUUGUUUUUAUUUUGUUUUUUCUUAUUCUAAUUGAAUUUCUUUUGUUCUAUUUAAUUGUUAUUUGCAUAUUCUGGUUGGAAAACUCAACUAAAUCCUUAUAUUAAAUUGUUUUUAUUAUUUUUAUGUGUUAAAAAAAAAGAACUAGAAAUAGAGAAAAAGGGGGCUCCCCAUCUAGUUUAUUUUUCUAUAUUUUUAUUAUUAAAAUUUAAUUAGGAUUUAAUUUGAUCCGGGACUUGGAUAACAUUAGAUUCCAUCAUUAUAUAUAUUGAUACUUCUAAAUAAUUAGUACACCCUUUCUAACUUCAAUUUUAUUUUUUAUUUUUUAUAAUUAUUAUUAUUAGAAAAAUAAAAAUAAAUACAAAGAAUUAACAUUCACUAUGGUUAAUUAGUUUUAUAAGAUUUUUUAGCAUAAUUUAGAUUAGGUAAUUUUGGAUUAUCAAUAUAAUGAGGAAACACCAAUAAAUCACAUCUCUUUUAUUUUUCUU